AUUAAAAUGGCAGAAAAGUGCAUUAGAUUUAAGCUCUAAAUAUGGGAGUAUUCCUUUUUGAUA
Molecule: transfer RNA, 63 nt
Filed under: Nemertopsis tetraclitophila
Lineage: Eukaryota; Metazoa; Nemertea; Enopla; Monostilifera; Emplectonematidae
Description: tRNA-Leu
Source: RNAcentral